UACGUAGGUGGCAAGCGUUGUCCGGAAUUAUUGGGCGUAAAGCGCGCGCAGGCGGUCCCUUAAGUCUGAUGUGAAAGCCCACGGCUCAACCGUGGAGGGUCAUUGGAAACUGGGGGACUUGAGUACAGAAGAGGAAAGCGGAAUUCCAUGUGUAGCGGUGAAAUGCGUAGAGAUGUGGAGGAACACCAGUGGCGAAGGCGGCUUUCUGGUCUGUAACUGACGCUGAGGCGCGAAAGCGUGGGGAGCAAACAGG
Molecule: ribosomal RNA, 253 nt
Filed under: uncultured bacterium
Lineage: Bacteria
Description: partial 16S ribosomal RNA
Rfam family: Bacterial small subunit ribosomal RNA
Source: RNAcentral